Molecule: transfer RNA, 65 nt
Filed under: Gari elongata
Lineage: Eukaryota; Metazoa; Mollusca; Bivalvia; Cardiida; Psammobiidae
Description: tRNA-His
Source: RNAcentral
GCGGAUGUAGUUUAAGUAAAGAUGCUGCGUUGUGGGUGCAAAGAUGAGCUUGUGCUCCGUUCGUA